This 168-nucleotide unclassified non-coding RNA is filed under the name soil metagenome. RNAcentral describes it as "partial internal transcribed spacer 1". The record is from RNAcentral.
CAGACGUUGCCUUACGGUAUACCUCCCAACCCUUGUUGAAUUAUACCUAUCGUUGCUUCGGCGGGCCGUCUCGACCACCGCUUUGACGCAAGCUGGACCAGGCGCCCGCCAGAGGACCCUAAAACUCUGUUUUAUUAUGUAUCUUCUGAGUAACUAAGCAAAUAAUUA